This 429-nucleotide ribosomal RNA is filed under the name Gemmatimonadota bacterium. Its description in RNAcentral is "Gemmatimonadetes bacterium partial 16S ribosomal RNA". It matches the Rfam family "Bacterial small subunit ribosomal RNA", at positions 355 to 776 of the family's 1533-position model. Lineage: Bacteria; Pseudomonadati; Gemmatimonadota. The record is from RNAcentral.
UAGGGAAUCUUCGGCAAUGGACGAAAGUCUGACCGAGCAACGCCGCGUGAGAGAAGAAGGUUUUCGGAACGUAAAACUCUGUUGUUAGAGAAGAACAAGGACGUUAGUAACUGAACGUCCCCUGACGGUAUCUAACCAGAAAGCCACGGCUAACUACGUGCCAGCAGCCGCGGUAAUACGUAGGUGGCAAGCGUUGUCCGGAUUUAUUGGGCGUAAAGCGAGCGCAGGCGGUUUCUUAAGUCUGAUGUGAAAGCCCCCGGCUCAACCGGGGAGGGUCAUUGGAAACUGGGAGACUUGAGUGCAGAAGAGGAGAGUGGAAUUCCAUGUGUAGCGGUGAAAUGCGUAGAUAUAUGGAGGAACACCAGUGGCGAAGGCGGCUCUCUGGUCUGUAACUGACGCUGAGGCUCGAAAGCGUGGGGAGCAAACAGG